This 213-nucleotide long non-coding RNA is filed under the name Trifolium pratense (red clover). RNAcentral describes it as "long non-coding RNA (TPRA_LNC012587)". The record is from RNAcentral. Lineage: Eukaryota; Viridiplantae; Streptophyta; Magnoliopsida; Fabales; Fabaceae.
AAUUCGCCUCUAAAUUCCAUAGGAACCGGCCUUAGUUCCACAUUCAUAUAGGUGAGUCUAUCAAGAGUACUCCUGAAGCUCGGUACUCCACUCAUACAGAGUAUAGAUCUCAUUAAGAGUUUUAUUAUCUCAUCCUUUCGCUUUCAGGAAUCAUGCUUUUCUUAUUUUUACUUGCAUGAUCAUCUUUAACUCCUCACAACUUGUUAUUACCCA